Long non-coding RNA from Podarcis muralis (Common wall lizard), 774 nucleotides. RefSeq lists it as uncharacterized. The record is from RefSeq and is a predicted model, not a curated record. Lineage: Eukaryota; Metazoa; Chordata; Lepidosauria; Squamata; Lacertidae.
AAUAAUAUUUAUUGUCAGGAGAUUUCCCCCUCCCGCCACAUCUCUUACCUCCGGAGCUUUUACACUUUUCGCUUAGCUGGAGGGAAUGUGGAACUGAGAUUUGGCCCUGGAUAUAAUCUCCCCGUCUCUUUCCCUCUCCCUCUCUCUCCCUCUCCCUCUUUCUGUAUAGAUCUGGCACGGCUUUGCUCUCUUAACUCCCAGAUCUUUGUUUCGGUGGUGGCGGCCAGAAAGAGCAAGAGAGCGCUGUGCUCUCAACUUCCCUCUGGCUUCCUUUAAAAACAACAACACACAAGUCCUCUUCCAACUUUUCCUCCAGUUAUUCACUUCUCAACCCUACUGACAGCAUUUGCCGAAAAUCUACACUCCAGCUUUGGUGAAUAGCUGAACCCAAGAACAGGGCAAGCAGUCACUUCGGCCAGCUUGCAUAAAGUUGGUUGUCCAACCUUACAGAGCCAUGUCUUACAGAAGCACAACACGCCUCCACUGGAAUUCAGGCAUUUAAUGUCACCAGCCCCAUGUUGUGGGACAUUCUUUCAGCAGAGAUUUGACAGGCUUGCUAGCUUUUCGCCUUUCGUGCUUUGAAGAUCUUUUAAUGCCAACUAGCCUGUGCCAUUGUUUAAAAUGUUCUUGAGUAGCCAAUCAUCUUAACGAUUGUGCUCUACUGCUUUUAAUGGUUUCUAAAAUGUGCUUUGUAUUGCUUUGCACUGCCCUGAUAUGUGUGAGAGUGCUGCAUAUAAAUACAAAUGGAAUAAAGGAAAACAUCGGGACAUAGCA